GUGCUCACUUCCACAGCACAUAUACUAAAACUGGAAUGAUAUAGGGGAGAUUAGCAUGGCCCCUGUGCAAGGAUGACACGCAAAUUCAUAAAGUGUUCCACAUUUUG
Molecule: small nuclear RNA, 107 nt
Organism: Hippopotamus amphibius kiboko
Lineage: Eukaryota; Metazoa; Chordata; Mammalia; Artiodactyla; Hippopotamidae
Source: RefSeq, a predicted model, not a curated record